GCAGGGGUGGCGGAGUGGUCAAACGCACCUGACUGUAAAUCAGGCCUCUUACGAGUACGGGGGUUCGAGUCCCUCUCCCUGCA
This 83-nucleotide transfer RNA is filed under the name bacterium. RNAcentral's name for it is "tRNA-Tyr". It matches the Rfam family "tRNA". Rfam says of the family: Transfer RNA (tRNA) molecules are approximately 80 nucleotides in length. Their secondary structure includes four short double-helical elements and three loops (D, anti-codon, and T loops). The record is from RNAcentral.